ACGUAGGGGGCAAGCGUUAUCCGGAUUUACUGGGUGUAAAGGGUACGUAGGCGGCUAACUAAGUCAGAUGUGAAAGCCCGGAGCUCAACUCCGGGAUUGCAUUUGAAACUGGUUAGCUAGAGUACAGGAGAGGUAAGUGGAAUUCCUAGUGUAGCGGUGAAAUGCGUAGAUAUUAGGAAGAACACCAGUGGCGAAGGCGACUUACUGGACUGUUACUGACGCUGAGGUACGAAAGCGUGGGGAGCGAACAGG
This 252-nucleotide ribosomal RNA is filed under the name uncultured bacterium. RNAcentral describes it as "partial 16S ribosomal RNA". It matches the Rfam family "Bacterial small subunit ribosomal RNA", at positions 525 to 776 of the family's 1533-position model. The record is from RNAcentral.